This 261-nucleotide signal recognition particle RNA is filed under the name Saimiri boliviensis boliviensis (Bolivian squirrel monkey). RNAcentral describes it as "Metazoan signal recognition particle RNA (ENSSBOG00000001453.1)". It matches the Rfam family "Metazoan signal recognition particle RNA". Rfam says of the family: The signal recognition particle (SRP) is a universally conserved ribonucleoprotein. It is involved in the co-translational targeting of proteins to membranes. The record is from RNAcentral. Lineage: Eukaryota; Metazoa; Chordata; Mammalia; Primates; Cebidae.
GCGGCGUCCCAGCAACUCGGGAUGCUGAGGUGGGAGGAUCGUUUGAGCCCAGGAGUUCUGGGCUGUAGUGCGAUAUGCCAAUUGGGUGUCCGAAGUAAGUUCAGCAUCAAUAUAGUGACCUCCUGGGAGCGGGGGACCACCAGGUUGCCUAAGGAGGGGUGAACGGGCCCAGGUCGGAAACAGAGCAGGUCAAAACUCCGGUGCUGAUCAGUAGUGGGAUCAGGCCUGUGAACAGCCACAACACAGAGAGACCCUGUUUCU